Molecule: unclassified non-coding RNA, 221 nt
Filed under: uncultured Thelephoraceae
Lineage: Eukaryota; Fungi; Basidiomycota; Agaricomycetes; Thelephorales; Thelephoraceae
Description: sequence contains ITS2
Source: RNAcentral
ACAUCUCAACUCCUCACGGUUCGCCCGUGACGAGCUUGGACUUUGGGGGUCUUGCCGGCCUGCGGGUCGGCUCCUCUCAAAUGAAUCAGCUUGCCGGUGUUUGGUGGCGUCACAGGUGUGAUAAAUAUCUACGCUUGUGGUUUUCCGCCAGGUAACCUCCAGCGAUGGGGGUUCACUGGAGCUCACGAAUGUCUCUCCUCGGUGAGGACAGCUCUUUGAAC